RNAcentral lists this long non-coding RNA (610 nucleotides) under Mus caroli (Ryukyu mouse). RNAcentral describes it as "lncRNA (MGP_CAROLIEiJ_G0002352.1)". The record is from RNAcentral. Lineage: Eukaryota; Metazoa; Chordata; Mammalia; Rodentia; Muridae.
AGAGGAAAUGUGAAGGGUAAUGCUACAGGAUGGCCUGGCUUCUGGUGGCGACUCUGUCACAAGCAGAAAUGUGUUUCCUCCAGAGACCACUUUUUUGUGAUAGGGACAUUUCCUUCAUGCUGGAAAACUGAGCUUAAAACCGUUUCCUGGUUAAAGUAGGAGACUGUAAAAGAGCUCUUCAGGUGAGCAUGCAGGUGCUCUUGGCCUUCUAGUUGUCACUCCCUGUACCAUCUGCUCCAGGAAGUCACUGCUUCUCAAAAUCAACUGCAUUUAUUCAGGGUAAAUCUACUGGCAUCUUGUUAAAAGAUGAUUGAGUGGCACUAGCAGCAUGAACCUAGGGUCCCUCUGAAUCCUGGACCCUCUGUGAUGCGUACACCCCUGGCCUAUGGCACCUGCCCAUCUCCCUGUUCAGCCCAGGCACUUUGUAGACAGUGAGGCACACAUGCUUUGGCUGAAGAAGCUUCUAGACACCAUGAAGUACCAAGUCACAUUUGUUCCCAUUGUUGACUCAAAGAACGAUGGGUCCCGCUGCAAGCCUAAGGCCACCGUAAUCAUCGUCGAGCUUGCUUCUCCACCCCAAGGUCUCUAAAUAAAACCUCUUCUUUCUCGG